CGUACACUCCUGCGGGAGGCAGCAGUGGGGAAUAUUGCACAAUGGGCGCAAGCCUGAUGCAGCCAUGCCGCGUGUAUGAAGAAGGCCUUCGGGUUGUAAAGUACUUUCAGCGGGGAGGAAGGCGAUAAGGUUAAUAACCUUGUUGAUUGACGUUACCCGCAGAAGAAGCACCGGCUAACUCCGUGCCAGCAGCCGCGGUAAUACGGAGGGUGCAAGCGUUAAUCGGAAUUACUGGGCGUAAAGCGCACGCAGGCGGUCUGUCAAGUCGGAUGUGAAAUCCCCGGGCUCAACCUGGGAACUGCAUUCGAAACUGGCAGGCUAGAGUCUUGUAGAGGGGGGUAGAAUUCCAGGUGUAGCGGUGAAAUGCGUAGAGAUCUGGAGGAAUACCGGUGGCGAAGGCGGCCCCCUGGACAAAGACUGACGCUCAGGUGCGAAAGCGUGGGGAGCAAACAGGAUGAGAUACCCUGGUAGUCCCAUGA
Molecule: ribosomal RNA, 479 nt
Filed under: uncultured organism
Description: partial 16S ribosomal RNA
Rfam family: Bacterial small subunit ribosomal RNA
Source: RNAcentral